Long non-coding RNA from Oxyura jamaicensis (ruddy duck), 1626 nucleotides. RefSeq lists it as uncharacterized. Lineage: Eukaryota; Metazoa; Chordata; Aves; Anseriformes; Anatidae. The transcript is spliced from 2 exons. The record is from RefSeq and is a predicted model, not a curated record.
CAGAUUAGCCCUGGAUAAAGGAAGAGGCAAAAUAAAGAUCUUCAGCUUCCCUCAGCACCAAAGUAAAAAUUGUUACUGGGAAGAUCCACCGGCAGUCAGCACCACCUCUGUGCAGCCCUUUCAGGGCUGUAUCCAUUACAAGCAAAGCCCCAGGGGUCAGAUCCAGCCUCCUCUAUGCUCCCCAGCAAGGUUUGGAAAGGAGAACUGGGUUAUGGUGAACCUGGAACUCCUCAAGACAUCAGAGGACUUUAAAGCAUACAUCCAGCACUUCCAGAUGGGAAGGUCUAAUGCCCGGUUUCUGAGAUAUCUUACAGAUACCAUCCAAGUCCUCAGAGAUCAUUCUGCACACUGCAAAAGCAAUGUCCAAUAGAGCAUGACUGGCAGGUUGUAUUAAAAAGAAAAAUGAAUAUGAAGUCAACAGUGGGGAUGAGAAUCUGACUAUGACAUCAAUGUGUGUGGAGCUUAUACAAUGCCUGCACCACUCCUGGCUCCUGUCUGCCCCUGACCAUGAUAUUCAUUACGUCUGUUCAUAUGAAACAUUGUGCUUGGUUUACAAAGGGUAAUGAAUUCUCAUUAAACCUCAGCCUGGUGUUCCUUCCCCUCCCUCUUGCUAGAACAGUAUACAGACUUGAAGCACCAGAAAUACAUUGGUCACUCUGAUACCAAGAUGAAAAACCAUUUUCCAAAAUAGGAGGAGGAUGCUGGAAACACAAGCAAAACCUAUCAGCUACAACACAGCAAAGAUGACAGCGUAAGUGACAUGGCUCCAGAGGACACAGACAUCAUGAGGCAGCUGCCCUGAACCUCUGUAUCAAAGUGGGCUGAGAGGAGCUGAUUGGGAAAAUGAAAAUGCCUUGUGACUUGGCAGUUGCACUUCAUAACUCUAUGUAUGCUCCAGAGUGCCUGCUCAUUUGCCAAAAAUCCAUCUAAGAAAAAAAAAAAAAAAAAGACCACAAUGGCUAUUUUCUAUUCACGAUGAUCUGUCCUCUGACGGGUAUCUGUUGUGGGAAGAGGGACGGCUGAUGGACUGUGAGGGCCAUGUAAGGAACGAAUUGUGCAAACAGUACAUGUGGGAAAGGACAAAGGGAAACUGUGCUGUGAGCUUGGGGACGCACCAGUCCCUGCCCAUCCUGCAUCAAAAGCAGCAGAGGCUUUGUUCAUACAGAAGUGAAUCAUUUGCAUAAUCUCAUGUUAAAUUAAGCAUGAACAUAACUUCAAGCACGUAAGAUGUUAGUGUAAUGUCUAUACUUGUAAUGAGUGGGGUUGUAAUGAGUUUAGGAGACAGCAAUAAUUUUUCAGGUGAAUUUAUUUUUUUACCUGUCGUAUUUCCUCUGUUUGAACAUUUUGCCAAGCCAAGUUCUGAGGGUGUCUGGUGCUGCUCUUUGAUGAUGUGUGGGUUACUGCAUUAUUUUAAAGACCAGUGACAUUAAAAGGAAAAUGUCUGCAUUAUGCAGAAGAACAUGGUAGCUCUUUGGGGGAAAUUCCUGUAGAAUUUGGAAUCCUUUUGCCUUGCCAUGUAGUGAUCUGCACUCCAGUUAAGAAGCAACUGACUAGACACGUGAUCAUAUCAUUUUAAAUUGCAUUUUUGUUUUUUUUUUUUUUUCCUUUUCAUUAAAAAUCUUCUAU